This is a long non-coding RNA of Gavialis gangeticus (Gharial), 1411 nucleotides long. RefSeq lists it as uncharacterized. The transcript has 4 exons. The record is from RefSeq and is a predicted model, not a curated record. NCBI's taxonomy places the organism in Eukaryota, Metazoa, Chordata, Crocodylia, Gavialidae.
UUUCAUUUGUCUUUCAGAUUCCAUCUUAUUCAUUCCAGAGCAUUUUUCCAAUUUAUCAAGAUCAUUUUUAAUUCAAAAUCUAUGCUCCAAAGUGCUUGCAACUUCCCCUUGGAGCCAUCAACAGUUUUUGGAGAUUCACUGGUUGCAAAAAGUGUUUGGAUCAACUGUCUUGGAACCUGAAGUCCCAACUAUUCACAGGGCAAAAAAAGGACACAGCUCAAAUCUCAAAGGCCACAUCAAGUUAAUUCCUAAAGUAAAGGGGUAAAACUUCUGCCUGAUGUCAUGGCUGCAUCUGGUAGUCAACCAUGUCUAAGAUUUAAGGACUAACUUCAACUUACCUGGCCCUGGGAAUGGAAUUCAGAGCCUGAAGAGUUAGCCACCAGCUUCCUACACUGUACCUGGUGAAAGACAAGUACCUCAGUGCGAUUCAUAACAGCACCACCUUCAGUGGGAAGCUGUCUGGAAUUAGCAACUACAGUCUCCAGCAGAACUGAAACUCUCCAGACAUGCAGCAUAGACCUGAAAGAGGUUUGAUCAAAAAUUGCACCUGUACAUGAGGGUGAGUGGAGGAACUGAGAAGUCAAGUGACCAAAAGGUGGCAAGACUCCACAAGUAUAUCAAAGAAGAAGAUGGUACCCCUGCCUAUCCCUCUGUCCCCCUACCAAACUGUUUGUUGGCUCCUUAUCUGGUUGUUGACCUGGGAAACCAAAGGACAUGGUUUAAAGAGUGUCUGAAGCUUCUGCUGGCUGGGCAGGGGCCCUUGUCAGGAGUGGCCAUUCCACACCCCCCUCCCGUUUUGGGCUAGUGUGGCCUCAAAGGCCAUCCUACACAAGGAAUCUAAGAGAGAAGGUAACCCAGUUGGCUUGCCUCAUGAUGCUGGGCCUGCUAGUUGGCUUAGGAGGUGCAAGUUCAAAGCUGCCCUUUACCUGGACACAGGUGCCUCCUCUUCUCUGCUGCAGGGAUUUUUUCCAACUGCCCUGUGUCUACCUCCAAUGGGCUCUUGAACCCACUAUACCAAUGGCAGAGAUCUGUGACACAAAGAUGAGAAGCUGGAUACAGCCCAUUACAUCAUAAAUUUGUCCAACCACUACGGAGUUUGUCAGGGCAGCCGACCUUAAGCAACUUCCAUAAGCCUUUUCAGGUGAGAGGUGACAUUCUUUUGCAAGAUCAACAAGGACAAUACAGAGGUCAGUAUGUUGGUAUUUGCAGUCUAGCAAGGAUCCUAUCUAUUAUUCCUCAUUCUUUCCUGAAGGCAAUAAGGUGUCAGGCAAAAAUUUCACAGCUAUGUAUCAAGUGAAGCAUUUGAGUCUAAUUCUCUCAAGAAUCUUGCCAGCAAUCAUUAGUAGGGAGAUUCCCCCAGUCAAACUUAUACCCUUCCUAUAGACAGGGACAACAAUGCAUUUUUAUAUUG